This 237-nucleotide ribosomal RNA is filed under the name uncultured bacterium. RNAcentral's name for it is "partial 16S ribosomal RNA". It matches the Rfam family "Bacterial small subunit ribosomal RNA", at positions 100 to 334 of the family's 1533-position model. The record is from RNAcentral.
CGGCACGGGUGAGUAACACGUAUCCAACCUGCCGUCUACUCUUGGCCAGCCUUCUGAAAGGAAGAUUAAUCCAGGAUGGCAUCAUGAGUUCACAUGUCCGCAUGAUUAAAGGUAUUUUCCGGUAGACGAUGGGGAUGCGUUCCAUUAGAUAGUAGGCGGGGUAACGGCCCACCUAGUCAACGAUGGAUAGGGGUUCUGAGAGGAAGGUCCCCACAUUGGAACUGAGACACGGUCCAA